Molecule: unclassified non-coding RNA, 407 nt
Filed under: soil metagenome
Description: partial contains 5.8S ribosomal RNA, internal transcribed spacer 2, and large subunit ribosomal RNA
Rfam family: 5.8S ribosomal RNA (bases 1-121)
Source: RNAcentral
GAUGAAGAACGUAGCGAAAUGCGAUAAGUAGUGUGAAUUGCAGAAGUACCGUGAAUCAUCGAAUCUUUGAACGCAAAUUGCACUCUCUGGUAUUCCGGGGAGUAUGCCUGUUUGAGGGUCGCUUAACAAACCAUCGAUUUCGUUGCUUUUUUUUUAAAGUGAUGUUUAUCGGAUUUGAGCCGUCUUUUUUUUUAUAUUUAAGUGGCUUAAAAUUGAUUUUUUUGGUACGAUCGAAGCGUAUUUUUAUGAUCAAUUUUUGGUUAAAGAAACGCACACGUACCGUUAUUUAUAUGAUGUAAUACGUUUGACUAUUGGAUUUAGUUCAUUCGUAUACGAUAUCUUUCAAUAUUUGACCUCAAAUCAGGUAAGAACACCCGCUGAACUUAAGCAUAUCAAUAAGCGGAGGA